AAUGGGCGAAAGCCUGACGCAGCGACGCCGCGUGAGUGAAGAAGGUCAUUAUGAUUGUAAAGCUCUGUAAAGAGGGAAGAAAAAAUUAAAAUUGACGGUACCUCUAAAGUAAGGACCGGCUAAACACGUGCCAGCAGCCGCGGUAAUACGUGUGGUCCGAGCGUUGUCCGGAAUAACUGGGCGUAAAGGGUGCGUAGGCGGAUAUACAAGUCAGGUGUGAAAUCCCCGAGCUUAACUUGGGAACUGCGCUUGAAACUGUAUAACUGGAGCAUGUCAGGGGUGAGUGGAAUUCCCGGAGUAGCGGUGAAAUGCGUAGAGAUCGGGAAGAACACCAGUAGCGAAGGCGACUCACUGGGGCAUAGCUGACGCUGAGGCACGAAAGCGUGGGGAGCGAA
This 395-nucleotide ribosomal RNA is filed under the name uncultured bacterium. RNAcentral describes it as "bacterial SSU rRNA". It matches the Rfam family "Bacterial small subunit ribosomal RNA", at positions 370 to 772 of the family's 1533-position model. The record is from RNAcentral.